Ochotona princeps (American pika) is the source of this 349-nucleotide long non-coding RNA. RefSeq lists it as uncharacterized. Lineage: Eukaryota; Metazoa; Chordata; Mammalia; Lagomorpha; Ochotonidae. The record is from RefSeq and is a predicted model, not a curated record. The transcript has 3 exons.
GAAACGAGGAGUCACGGCCUCCACCUGGGUCUCUCAUACAAUACGGGUGGCAGAGGUCCACGGAGUUGGGCCAUCUUUCGGUAGCCUUUCCAGUUCCCUUCCAUGAACACCACCACCUCACCAGUGGGCAGUUCAGGUAGACGUGUCCCUGCCACUCCUCUCAGAUGGAGCUCCUGACUGCUGGCCACAAGACCCAGCCAAGGCUCCUCUGGAUACUUAAGACAAACAGCAAGUGGGAAAGCUUUAUGGAAAGAAUUAAACAAUACAUUUAUCCCUUGGUAUCCACAAGUGGAAGGUUCCAAGGACCAGCCAUCCAACUCCUAAAUGCCAAAAUCCACAGCUGCUCAAG